CUACGGAGGGGGUUAGCGUUGUUCGGAAUUACUGGGCGUAAAGCGCACGUAGGCGGACUGGAAAGUUGGGGGUGAAAUCCCGGGGCUCAACCCCGGAACUGCCUCCAAAACUUCCAAUCUAGAGAUCGAGAGAGGUGAGAGGAAUUCCAAGUGUAGAGGUGAAAUUCGUAGAUAUUUGGAGGAACACCAGUGGCGAAGGCGGCUCACUGGCUCGAUACUGACGCUGAGGUGCGAAAGCGUGGGGAGCAAACAGGAUUAGAAACCCCAGUAGUCC
RNAcentral lists this ribosomal RNA (274 nucleotides) under uncultured bacterium. Its description in RNAcentral is "partial 16S ribosomal RNA". It matches the Rfam family "Bacterial small subunit ribosomal RNA", at positions 523 to 796 of the family's 1533-position model. The record is from RNAcentral.